GACGAACGCUGGCGGCGUGCCUAAUACAUGCAAGUCGAGCGAAGUUUUUCUGGUGCUUGCACCGGAAAAACUUAGCGGCGAACGGGUGAGUAACACGUAAAGAACCUGCCUCAUAGACUGGGACAACUAUUGGAAACGAUAGCUAAUACCGGAUAAUAGCAUUAACUGCAUGGUUGAUGUUUAAAAGUUGGUUUUGCUAACACUAUGAGAUGGCUUUGCGUUGCAUUAGCUAGUUGGUGGGGUAAAGGCCUACCAAGGCGACGAUGCAUAGCCGACCUGAGAGGGUGAUCGGCCACACUGGGACUGAGACACGGCCCAGACUCCUACGGGAGGCAGCAGUAGGGAAUCUUCCGCAAUGGGCGAAAGCCUGACGGAGCAACGCCGCGUGAGUGAAGAAGGAUUUCGGUUCGUAAAGCUCUGUUGUUAGGGAAGAAUGAUUGUGUAGUAACUAUACACAGUAGAGACGGUACCUAACCAGAAAGCCACGGCUAACUACGUG
This 499-nucleotide ribosomal RNA is filed under the name uncultured bacterium. Its description in RNAcentral is "partial 16S ribosomal RNA". It matches the Rfam family "Bacterial small subunit ribosomal RNA", at positions 28 to 507 of the family's 1533-position model. The record is from RNAcentral.